GAUGACUCCAUGUCUGGAAAUACUGUGUGGGGUGAAUAAUUUAAAGAAAAAUUCCAUUUGUAUUAGUCAAAACUAUAAUGGCUUAUAAUUGCUUAUGAGAAAAAGAGAACAGUGUUGGUUGAUAAUGUUGAGUGUCUAAGCUGGGACUAAGAUGGUGUCCUGAGACAUGUUUUAUGUUGCAGGUAAAACAAAGUAAAUACCCAGUGUGGAGAGAAGAGUUUCUCAGCUGGCCAGUGAACCCAAGACUUAUGAAGUUACUGUGAUCAAAAAUAAAGUCAUUUGAACUCUGAUAGAGAAAAGAUACAUUUAAACUGGCCAUCCUGCAUACAUAUAUUAUA
This 338-nucleotide long non-coding RNA is filed under the name Sus scrofa (pig). RNAcentral's name for it is "lncRNA (ENSSSCG00070011414.1)". The record is from RNAcentral. Lineage: Eukaryota; Metazoa; Chordata; Mammalia; Artiodactyla; Suidae.